UCAAGAGGAAGAAAAAGUAGUAGCAAAAUAUCCGUUGGUGGUCCACCGGAGGGAUCAUUCUUGGUCAUUAGAGGAAGUAAAAGUCGUAACAAGGUCUCCGUUGGUGAACCAGCGGAGGGAUCAUUACCGAGUCACGGAACUCCACAACCCCCUGCGAACCUUACCCCAGCGUUGCCUCGGCGGGAUCGCCCCGGCGCCCCAUCGGGCCCGGGAACGCGGCGCCCGCCGGAGGACCCCAGUAACACUCCUCGCCUCAGCGGCAUCUUCCGGGUGAGAGCCAUCACGAAUGAGUCAAAACUUUCAACAACGGAUCUCUUGGUUCUGGCAUCGAUGAAGAACGCAGCGAAAUGCGAUAAGUAAUGUGAAUUGCAGAAUUCAGUGAACCAUCGAAUCUUUGAACGCACAUUGCGCCCGCCAGCACUCUGGCGGGCAUGCCUGUCCGAGCGUCAUUUCAGCCCUCGAGCCCGCCCGGCUCGGCGUUGGGGCCCGGCCCGCCGCGGCCGCCCCCCAAAUCCAGUGGCGACCCCGCCGCGAAACGCGAACCAGCCUCGCUGGAGAGUUGACCUCGGAUCAGGCAGGGGUACCCGCUGAACUUAAGCAUAUCAAUAAGCGGAGGAA
This 618-nucleotide ribosomal RNA is filed under the name Ophiocordyceps melolonthae. Its description in RNAcentral is "eukaryotic LSU rRNA". The stretch from base 296 to 449 matches the Rfam family "5.8S ribosomal RNA". Lineage: Eukaryota; Fungi; Ascomycota; Sordariomycetes; Hypocreales; Ophiocordycipitaceae. The record is from RNAcentral.